CCUACGGGAGGCAGCAGUGAGGAAUAUUGGUCAAUGGACGAGAGUCUGAACCAGCCAAGUCGCGUGAAGGAUGACUGCCCUAUGGGUUGUAAACCUCUUUUAUAAAGGAAUAAAACGAGGCACGUGUGCCGUUUUGCAUGUACUUUAUGAAUAAGGAUCGGCUAACUCCGUGCCAGCAGCCGCGGUAAUACGGAGGAUCCGAGCGUUAUCCGGAUUUAUUGGGUUUAAAGGGUGCGUAGAUGGGUUGUUAAGUCAGUUGUGAAAGUUUGCGGCUCAACCAUAAAAUUGCAAUUGAUACUGGCAGUCUUGAGUACAGUUGAGGUAGGCGGAAUGCGUGGUGUAGCGGUGAAAUGCUUAGAUAUCACGAAGAACCCCGAUUGCGAAGGCAGCUUACUAAACUGUGACUGACAUUGAUGCUCGAAAGUGUGGGUAUCAAACAGGAUUAGAUACCCCUGUAGUC
RNAcentral lists this ribosomal RNA (460 nucleotides) under uncultured bacterium. RNAcentral's name for it is "partial 16S ribosomal RNA". It matches the Rfam family "Bacterial small subunit ribosomal RNA", at positions 338 to 795 of the family's 1533-position model. The record is from RNAcentral.